Molecule: ribosomal RNA, 700 nt
Filed under: uncultured Alphaproteobacteria bacterium
Lineage: Bacteria; Pseudomonadati; Pseudomonadota; Alphaproteobacteria
Description: bacterial SSU rRNA
Rfam family: Bacterial small subunit ribosomal RNA
Source: RNAcentral
AGCGGCGGACGGGUGAGUAACGCGUGGGAACGUACCCUCUUCUGCGGGAUAGCCACUGGAAACGGUGAGUAAUACCGCAUACGCCCUUCGGGGGAAAGAUUUAUCGGAGGAGGAUCGGCCCGCGUUGGAUUAGGUAGUUGGUGGGGUAAUGGCCUACCAAGCCUACGAUCCAUAGCUGGUUUUAGAGGAUGAUCAGCCACACUGGGACUGAGACACGGCCCAGACUCCUACGGGAGGCAGCAGUGGGGAAUCUUAGACAAUGGGCGCAAGCCUGAUCUAGCCAUGCCGCGUGAGUGACGAAGGCCUUAGGGUCGUAAAGCUCUUUCGCCAGAGAUGAUAAUGACAGUAUCUGGUAAAGAAACCCCGGCUAACUCCGUGCCAGCAGCCGCGGUAAUACGGAGGGGGUUAGCGUUGUUCGGAAUUACUGGGCGUAAAGCGCACGUAGGCGGAUUGGAAAGUUGGGGGUGAAAUCCCAGGGCUCAACCCUGGAACGGCCUCCAAAACUCCCAGUCUGGAGUUCGAGAGAGGUGAGUGGAAUUCCGAGUGUAGAGGUGAAAUUCGUAGAUAUUCGGAGGAACACCAGUGGCGAAGGCGGCUCACUGGCUCGAUACUGACGCUGAGGUGCGAAAGUGUGGGGAGCGAACAGGAUUAGAUACCCUGGUAGUCCACACCGUAAACGAUGAAUGCCAGUCGUCGGCAA